UCAGCGCUCUUAUUUCUA
This 18-nucleotide transfer RNA is filed under the name Rhinolophus siamensis (Thai horseshoe bat). RNAcentral's name for it is "partial tRNA-Ile". The record is from RNAcentral. Lineage: Eukaryota; Metazoa; Chordata; Mammalia; Chiroptera; Rhinolophidae.